GUGCUAAGCGGGUAGAAGGUGUGGUCGCGGCCUCCGGGGGCUCCCCCCGGGCGGUAGAGGUAACACUCUUACGCGCCACAUGUCUGAAUCCUUUUUUUACGAGCACCUUUCGUUCUCCUUCGGUGGGGCAACCUGCCGUUGGAACUUAUCAAAACCUUUUUUGCAUCUAGCAUUACCUGUUCAGAUACAAACAAUCGUUACAACUUUCAACAAUGGAUCUCUUGGCUCUGGCAUCGAUGAAGAACGCAGCGAAAUGCGAUAAGUAGUGUGAAUUGCAGAAUUCAGUGAAUCAUCGAAUCUUUGAACGCACAUUGCGCCCCUUGGUAUUCCAUGGGGCAUGCCUGUUCGAGCGUCAUCUACACCCUCAAGCUCUGCUUGGUGUUGGGCGUCUGUCCCGCCUCUGCGCGUGGACUCGCCCCAAAUUCAUUGGCAGCGGUCUUUGCCUCCUCUCGCGCAGCACAUUGCGCUUUAGAGGGGUGUGGGCCGCGUCCACGAAGCAACAUUAUCGUCUUUGACCUCGGAUCAGGUAGGGAUACCCGCUGAACUUAAGCAUAUCAACAGCCCGGAGGGAAGA
RNAcentral lists this ribosomal RNA (574 nucleotides) under Microsphaeropsis arundinis. RNAcentral's name for it is "eukaryotic LSU rRNA". The stretch from base 202 to 355 matches the Rfam family "5.8S ribosomal RNA". The record is from RNAcentral. Lineage: Eukaryota; Fungi; Ascomycota; Dothideomycetes; Pleosporales; Didymellaceae.